AGGCAGCAGUGGGGAAUAUUGCACAAUGGGGGAAACCCUGAUGCAGCCAUGCCGCGUGUGUGAAGAAGGCCUUCGGGUUGUAAAGCACUUUCAGUAGGGAGGAAGGUAGUGUAGUUAACACCUGCACUAUUUGACGUUACCUACAGAAGAAGCACCGGCUAACUCCGUGCCAGCAGCCGCGGUAAUACGGAGGGUGCGAGCGUUAAUCGGAAUUACUGGGCGUAAAGCGCAUGCAGGCGGCCUGUUAAGUCAGAUGUGAAAGACCCGGGGCUUAACCUCGGAAUUGCAUUUGAAACUGGCAGGCUAGAGUCUUGUAGAGGGGGGUAGGAAUUUCAGGUGUAGCGGUGAAAUGCGUAGAGAUCUGAAGGAAUACCAGUGGCGAAGGCGGCCCCCUGGACAAAGACUGACGCUCAGAUGCGAAAGCGUGGGGAGCAAACAGGAUUAGAUACCCUGGUAG
This 457-nucleotide ribosomal RNA is filed under the name uncultured bacterium. RNAcentral's name for it is "bacterial SSU rRNA". It matches the Rfam family "Bacterial small subunit ribosomal RNA", at positions 346 to 793 of the family's 1533-position model. The record is from RNAcentral.